This 820-nucleotide ribosomal RNA is filed under the name uncultured Pseudomonas sp. Its description in RNAcentral is "bacterial SSU rRNA". It matches the Rfam family "Bacterial small subunit ribosomal RNA", at positions 74 to 890 of the family's 1533-position model. Lineage: Bacteria; Pseudomonadati; Pseudomonadota; Gammaproteobacteria; Pseudomonadales; Pseudomonadaceae. The record is from RNAcentral.
AGAAGCUUGCUUCUCUUGAGAGCGGCGGACGGGUGAGUAAUGCCUAGGAAUCUGCCUAGUGGUGGGGGAUAACGUUCGGAAACGGACGCUAAUACCGCAUACGUCCUACGGGAGAAAGCGGGGGACCUUCGGGCCUCGCGCCAUUAGAUGAGCCUAGGUCGGAUUAGCUAGUUGGUGAGGUAAUGGCUCACCAAGGCGACGAUCCGUAACUGGUCUGAGAGGAUGAUCAGUCACACUGGAACUGAGACACGGUCCAGACUCCUACGGGAGGCAGCAGUGGGGAAUAUUGGACAAUGGGCGAAAGCCUGAUCCAGCCAUGCCGCGUGUGUGAAGAAGGUCUUCGGAUUGUAAAGCACUUUAAGUUGGGAGGAAGGGUAGUAACUUAAUACGUUACUACUUUGACGUUACCGACAGAAUAAGCACCGGCUAACUUCGUGCCAGCAGCCGCGGUAAUACGAAGGGUGCAAGCGUUAAUCGGAAUUACUGGGCGUAAAGCGCGCGUAGGUGGUUCAGUAAGUUGGAAGUGAAAUCCCCGGGCUCAACCUGGGAACUGCUUUCAAAACUGCUGAGCUAGAGUACGGUAGAGGGUGGUGGAAUUUCCUGUGUAGCGGUGAAAUGCGUAGAUAUAGGAAGGAACACCAGUGGCGAAGGCGACCACCUGGACUGAUACUGACACUGAGGUGCGAAAGCGUGGGGAGCAAACAGGAUUAGAUACCCUGGUAGUCCACGCCGUAAACGAUGUCAACUAGCCGUUGGGAGUCUUGAACUCUUAGUGGCGCAGCUAACGCAUUAAGUUGACCGCCUGGGGAGUACGGCCGCA